This is a long non-coding RNA of Arabidopsis thaliana (thale cress), 259 nucleotides long. RefSeq annotates it as other RNA. The transcript has a single exon. Lineage: Eukaryota; Viridiplantae; Streptophyta; Magnoliopsida; Brassicales; Brassicaceae. The record is from RefSeq.
GAUGCAAACUGAACAACCGGAACCCUACCCAUCUGCUUAGUCUGAGCCACAAGAUCAUACGGUGCUGAAAUCUUCUUAGCAAACGUGAACACCUCAUCAUCAUCCAUGUUGUUCAAGACUCUAACUUCACCCAUCAAUGACCUAACGUUCUUCACAGUCUCUGCAAUGUUACCUGUUGCGGUUAAAUCUCCUUGGAUCCUAAUCAUAGCAGCACCUUCUCUGAUUCUCCUCAAAGCUUCUCCUGUAUCACGGCAACCAC